Non-coding RNA from Naganishia vaughanmartiniae, 93 nucleotides. Lineage: Eukaryota; Fungi; Basidiomycota; Tremellomycetes; Filobasidiales; Filobasidiaceae. The record is from the annotation of a GenBank genome assembly.
GGUCCUAUAGUUCAGUGGAAGAACGUAUGCUUAACAAACACCUCGUUUGUUUAAGCUCGCAUAAGGCCCUGGGAUCGAAACCCAGUAGGACCU